RNAcentral lists this ribosomal RNA (495 nucleotides) under uncultured bacterium. RNAcentral describes it as "partial 16S ribosomal RNA". It matches the Rfam family "Bacterial small subunit ribosomal RNA", at positions 30 to 507 of the family's 1533-position model. The record is from RNAcentral.
UGAACGCUGGCGGCGUGCCUAAUACAUGCAAGUCGAGCGAACAGACGAGGAGCUUGCUCCUCUGACGUUAGCGGCGGACGGGUGAGUAACACGUGGAUAACCUACCUAUAAGACUGGGAUAACUUCGGGAAACCGGAGCUAAUACCGGAUAAUAUAUUGAACCGCAUGGUUCAAUAGUGAAAGACGGUUUUGCUGUCACUUAUAGAUGGAUCCGCGCCGCAUUAGCUAGUUGGUAAGGUAACGGCUUACCAAGGCAACGAUGCGUAGCCGACCUGAGAGGGUGAUCGGCCACACUGGAACUGAGACACGGUCCAGACUCCUACGGGAGGCAGCAGUAUGGAAUCUUCCGCAAUGGGCGAAAGCCUGACGGAGCAACGCCGCGUGAGUGAUGAAGGUCUUCGGAUCGUAAAACUCUGUUAUUAGGGAAGAACAAAUGUGUAAGUAACUAUGCACGUCUUGACGGUACCUAAUCAGAAAGCCACGGCUAACUACGUG